CGCGGGGUAGAGCAGUUGGUAGCUCGUCGGGCUCAUAACCCGGAGGUCGUUGGUUCGAGUCCAGCCCCCGCUA
RNAcentral lists this transfer RNA (73 nucleotides) under Bacteroides sp. RNAcentral describes it as "tRNA-Met". It matches the Rfam family "tRNA". Rfam says of the family: Transfer RNA (tRNA) molecules are approximately 80 nucleotides in length. Their secondary structure includes four short double-helical elements and three loops (D, anti-codon, and T loops). The record is from RNAcentral. Lineage: Bacteria; Pseudomonadati; Bacteroidota; Bacteroidia; Bacteroidales; Bacteroidaceae. RNAcentral also lists the same sequence under 4 other names.